RNAcentral lists this transfer RNA (72 nucleotides) under Daphnia magna. It matches the Rfam family "tRNA". From Rfam's summary of the family: Transfer RNA (tRNA) molecules are approximately 80 nucleotides in length. Their secondary structure includes four short double-helical elements and three loops (D, anti-codon, and T loops). The record is from Rfam by way of RNAcentral. Lineage: Eukaryota; Metazoa; Arthropoda; Branchiopoda; Diplostraca; Daphniidae.
GGGGUUGUAAUUCAGAGGUAGAGAGUUCGCUUCGCAUGUGUAAAGCCCGGAGUUCAAUCCUCCCCAACUCCA